This is a non-coding RNA of Kogia breviceps (pygmy sperm whale), 1733 nucleotides long. The record is from RefSeq and is a predicted model, not a curated record. NCBI's taxonomy places the organism in Eukaryota, Metazoa, Chordata, Mammalia, Artiodactyla, Physeteridae.
AAACUGAGUUUACCUAGUCUUUUGUCCUUCUGGUGCCGGGGGCGGAGGUGGGGAAAGCCUGGAGCUCAGCUGAAGCCCUCCUGUUUCCAGGAGCUCCCUGGCCCCAGGCAGAAUCUUUUCUCUAAUCCCUGCCAAUAAAAAUUUACAUAAUCUAGGCCACACUUUGUAGCCCACUACCUGUUUUACCGUGUUGUUUAAAAAGUAACGUUGUUAAUGAACGCUGUUAAUUAACAGUUGUCACAAGUGGAGUAUGGACUUCAUAUUAAAGUAUCACGAUGUUAAAUUUGAGAUUACUGUGUUAUGUAAGAGAAUACCCUUUUCCUUAAAUAUACACCGGAGUCUUAAGGAGUGAAGGAAUGUGAUGCAUGCUACCUACUCUUAAAUGGUUAGGAAAUAGCAUGUAUGUAUGUGAGAGGAGGGGGUUGAGAGAGUGAUAAAGCAAAAUGGCAAGGUGAUUAAAAAAAUAGUGAGUUUGUGUGUGGUGGUUUUAAGAUACGUUCACAAAUUCAAUGAUGUUCUCUUAGAGGCGGGGUCUAAUUCCCCUUCUCAGGAGUGUGGGCUGGGCUUAGUGACUCUGUUAUCUAAUAGGAUAUUGUAGAAGUGAGUGUCUGACUUCCUAGGCUAGGUCAUAAAAGGCUCUGCAUCUUCCCGCUAGCUUUCUUUUUCAUUCACUCAGGACCCAAAUCUAGUGGAAACCAGCCGCUAUGUCAUGAGGACACUUAGGCAGCCUGUACUGAGGCCUUCCACCAACAGAUAUGUGAGUGAGUCAUCUUGGAAGCCAGUCCUCCAGUCCUGCUCAAUGCUUUGGAUGACAGCAACCCAUGCCAACAUCCUGACUGCAACUUCAGGAAACCCUGAGCUAUGCCUGCCCAGCUAAGCCACUCCUGGUUUCCUGACUCUCAGAAACUGAUCUACUAGACCAGGAGUCCCCAAUCCUGGCCUGUUAGGAACCGGGCCGCACAGCAGGAGGUGAGCAGCAGGCAAGCGAUCGAAGCUUCAUCUGUAUUUACAGCCGCUCCCCAUCGCUCGCAUUACUGCCUGAGCUCUGCCUCUUGUCAGCAUUAUGCUUCAUCCCAACAUACCUUACAUGCUCCCUCAGAAACAUGGAUUUACAAAUGCAGCUUCAAAUACCUCUAGAGAAAGGCUUUGUGAAGGCAGAGACUUCUAUCUUCAUUUUUGUAUCCUCCAGAGUACUCAAGCUUAUCACAUGACUACUGGAUCUAAGGUUUCCUGGAGCAAUCCUAAACUAUGAAUAAAGAAAUGGAUACUACAGGGGUCAUCUCUUUGGGGCAGUCUGUGGAGGAAAAUAUGUAAGUUAUUUGCAACAGCUGUGGAAAACAUAGCAACCAAAGACAAAGGCUCCAAAUGAUUACCAACUUACUGAUGCACCUCUGGUUCUUCUUUCCAGAAGGAAGAAAGAGGAGGAGGAAAUAGUGGCCUAGCAGGCAUCUUCUUCCCUCUCACUGACCAAGACUGUGUGUUGCAUAACUACCCCUUGAUGCAAGGGAGCUGGAAAAUCAAUUCUUUUCUUUUAUAUUCUCCACAUUAGAGAUAAGAAAGGGAGAAAGGUGUUAAAAAUGGACUCUGAGCUAGCCAACCCACAGUAUCAAUCACAAAAAAAUGUCCAAAGAACUUUAAGAGAUAUAUAAACCCCCAAAGAUAGGAGAAAUUCUAAGGAACCCUGCCACUUUACCAAUAUACACUUCACAGAUGAUUUUCUCUCCCAACAUAAA